CAGUAUCCUUCUUUGCCACACUGAUAAGAAGUAUCUUUGGUGGAGACUUUCUUCACCUUCUUCUUGGAGAUGCUAGCUUUAGGAUUUAAUUUUUUCUUAGAACCCUUCUUACCUUUCUUUUUGAAGAUCUUAUCCACAAGAAGAUGUCAUGAUCUGACUGAAAGCUGGAGUCAGUGAACUCCACAAGUUUCAAGUCAGUUUCACCAUACACAAGCCAC
RNAcentral lists this long non-coding RNA (218 nucleotides) under Elaeis guineensis (African oil palm). RNAcentral describes it as "long non-coding RNA (EGUI_LNC056169)". Lineage: Eukaryota; Viridiplantae; Streptophyta; Magnoliopsida; Arecales; Arecaceae. The record is from RNAcentral.